Molecule: ribosomal RNA, 487 nt
Filed under: Rhodococcus sp. AOU 4
Lineage: Bacteria; Bacillati; Actinomycetota; Actinomycetes; Mycobacteriales; Nocardiaceae
Also listed under: 1 other name
Description: bacterial SSU rRNA
Rfam family: Bacterial small subunit ribosomal RNA
Source: RNAcentral
AGCCUGAUGCAGCGACGCCGCGUGAGGGAUGACGGCCUUCGGGUUGUAAACCUCUUUCAGCAGGGACGAAGCGCAAGUGACGGUACCUGCAGAAGAAGCACCGGCCAACUACGUGCCAGCAGCCGCGGUAAUACGUAGGGUGCGAGCGUUGUCCGGAAUUACUGGGCGUAAAGAGCUCGUAGGCGGUUUGUCGCGUCGUCUGUGAAAACCCGCAGCUCAACUGCGGGCUUGCAGGCGAUACGGGCAGACUCGAGUACUGCAGGGGAGACUGGAAUUCCUGGUGUAGCGGUGAAAUGCGCAGAUAUCAGGAGGAACACCGGUGGCGAAGGCGGGUCUCUGGGCAGUAACUGACGCUGAGGAGCGAAAGCGUGGGUAGCGAACAGGAUUAGAUACCCUGGUAGUCCACGCCGUAAACGGUGGGCGCUAGGUGUGGGUGUCCUUCCACGGGAUCCGUGCCGUAGCCAACGCAUUAAGCGCCCCGCCUGGG